This 497-nucleotide ribosomal RNA is filed under the name uncultured bacterium. Its description in RNAcentral is "partial 16S ribosomal RNA". It matches the Rfam family "Bacterial small subunit ribosomal RNA", at positions 28 to 507 of the family's 1533-position model. The record is from RNAcentral.
GGUGAACGCUGGCGGCGUGCCUAAUACAUGCAAGUCGAGCGAACGGACGAGAAGCUUGCUUUUCUGAUGUUAGCGGCGGACGGGUGAGUAACACGUGGAUAACCUACCUAUAAGACUGGGAUAACUUCGGGAAACCGGAGCUAAUACCGGAUAAUAUUUUGAACCGCAUGGUUCAAAAGUGAAAGACGGUUUGGCUGUCACUUAUAGACGGUUCCGCGUUGCAUUAGCUAGUUGGUAAGGUAACGGCUUACCAAGGCAACGAUGCAUAGCCGACCUGAGAGGGUGAUCGGCCACACUGGAACUGAGACACGGUCCAGACUCCUACGGGAGGCAGCAGUAGGGAAUCUUCCACAAUGGGCGAAAGCCUGACGGAGCAACGCCGCGUGAGUGAUGAAGGUCUUCGGAUCGUAAAACUCUGUUAUUAGGGAAGAACAGAUGUGUAAGUAACUGUGCACAUCUUGACGGUACCUAAUCAGAAAGCCACGGCUAACUACGUG